AUAUGCCAAAGGCCUUUGUGAAUGUCACUCAAAGUUGCAAACUUGUUUCCCAAAAAUAUUAUGAGUGGCAACAUGGGUGUUUGAUACUCGAGCAAAUUACAAAAGAAUAUUGCCAGCAGAUGCCAGGGUAUCUUACAUGGUUAGAAACUCCAAUCCAACAACAUCAAUGUGUUAUCUCAUGGUCAACGCCCGUACUGAAUUAUCAUUGCAGUAGGAUAACGUUACGGAAUGAGAGGGUGAGGGAAGAAGAAGUCUGUCAAAAUAUUACUCAAACUCAGUCUUUAGAAGAUGCAUGGGGAGCUAUAUGGGGACCGAGCUUACUAGAAACUUAUAGUUAUUUGGGAGAGGUUCAUUGGUGUGUACAAUGAAGUGGAAAGAAGAAUCAAACUCAUACAAGUGUAAUGAAUUUACAGACUACUGAAAGGAGAAUGAAAGAUCAGAAGGAAAUGUGGAAUUGUACUCAAGUAAUAACUUGUGAUACACCCGAGACACAAAUAGGACUAGUACCUGUCAGGGUUCUAUUGAAAUGGGGAUGUGAGUGUAGGGGAUAUAAUCAUACUAUCAGAGAAGAAAUAAAAGGGGAUAGAAGUGGGAAACGAAUUAUUAGUUGCAAAUCUACCACAAUAAGAAGUCCAGGAAAUUUAGUAUGGGUAAUUGGGCAUGGGGAAUGGACUACUCACAUACCUAUCGAUGGACCAGUUACUCAAAUUACGUUAGGAAUCCCAACCUUAUGCCCACUGUGGAAACAAUUGAAAUUGAAGGGAAAAGUUAAAAGAGAUUUAGAUGAGAAGGACCAAUGGCAUGAACCAGAUAGUGGAGUAAAAUUUGGGUGGGCAUUAGAAUCCCUCUUUUCACCAGUUGCAGCUUAUCAGAACAGAGACAUGCUUUAUAAGCUAAUAGGAGAGACAGAAAGGUUAGCAGCCACUACUAGGAAAGGGUUUAGAGAUUUAAAUCUCCAAUUACAAGCCACCAGUAGAAUGACUUUAGAAAAUCGAAUGGCACUAGACCUAAUAUUACUAAAAGAACAUGGAGUAUGCGGCUACUUAAGUCAGAAAAUUGACCAUUGCUGUAUCCAUAUCCCAAAUGUAACGGUCAGCAUAGAACAAGACAUAUCCCAAUUGGAAAGGGUGGAAGACAAAACUAGGGGAUUAGAACGUCAGGCAGAACAUAAUUGGAUUGGGGAAAUAUUCUGUUCUAUGGGGCUCCAGGUCUCUG
RNAcentral lists this long non-coding RNA (1215 nucleotides) under Chloebia gouldiae (Gouldian finch). RNAcentral's name for it is "Erythrura gouldiae (Gouldian finch) lncRNA (ENSEGOG00005014505.1)". Lineage: Eukaryota; Metazoa; Chordata; Aves; Passeriformes; Passeridae. The record is from RNAcentral.